GGUGAACGCUGGCGGUAGGCCUAACACAUGCAAGUCGAACGGCAGCACAGUAAGAGCUUGCUCUUACGGGUGGCGAGUGGCGGACGGGUGAGGAAUACAUCGGAAUCUACUUUUUCGUGGGGGAUAACGUAGGGAAACUUACGCUAAUACCGCAUACGACCUACGGGUGAAAGCAGGGGAUCUUCGGACCUUGCGCGAUUGAAUGAGCCGAUGUCGGAUUAGCUAGUUGGCGGGGUAAAGGCCCACCAAGGCGACGAUCCGUAGCUGGUCUGAGAGGAUGAUAAGCCACCUGGAAACUGAGACACGGUCCAGACCCCUACGGGAGGCAGCAGGGGGGAAUAUUGGACAAUGGCGCAAGCCUGAUCCAGCCAUACCGCGUGGGUGAAGAAGGCCUUCGGGUUGUAAAGCCCUUUUGUUGGGAAAGAAAAGCAGCAGGUUAAUACCCCGCUGUUCUGACGGUACCCAAAGAAUAAGCACCGGCUAACUUCGUG
Molecule: ribosomal RNA, 491 nt
Filed under: uncultured bacterium
Lineage: Bacteria
Description: partial 16S ribosomal RNA
Rfam family: Bacterial small subunit ribosomal RNA
Source: RNAcentral